Molecule: ribosomal RNA, 419 nt
Filed under: uncultured cyanobacterium
Lineage: Bacteria; Bacillati; Cyanobacteriota
Description: bacterial SSU rRNA
Rfam family: Bacterial small subunit ribosomal RNA
Source: RNAcentral
AUUUUCCGCAAUGGGCGAAAGCCUGACGGAGCAACGCCGCGUGAGGGAUGAAGGCCUCUGGGCUGUAAACCUCUUUUAUCAAGGAAGAAGAUCUGACGGUACUUGAUGAAUAAGCCACGGCUAAUUCCGUGCCAGCAGCCGCGGUAAUACGGGAGUGGCAAGCGUUAUCCGGAAUUAUUGGGCGUAAAGCGUCCGCAGGCGGCCUUGUAAGUCUGUUGUUAAAGCGUGGAGCUUAACUCCAUUUCGGCAGUGGAAACUGACAGACUAGAGUGUGGUAGGGGCAGAGGGAAUUCCCGGUGUAGCGGUGAAAUGCGUAGAUAUCGGGAAGAACACCAGUGGCGAAGGCGCUCUGCUGGGCCAUAACUGACGCUCAUGGACGAAAGCCAGGGGAGCGAAAGGGAUUAGAUACCCCUGUAGUC